RNAcentral lists this long non-coding RNA (200 nucleotides) under Solanum tuberosum (potato). RNAcentral's name for it is "long non-coding RNA (STUB_LNC006681)". The record is from RNAcentral. Lineage: Eukaryota; Viridiplantae; Streptophyta; Magnoliopsida; Solanales; Solanaceae.
UCCGGUUAAUACUCUUUGUUCUUUUUCAUCUUUUAUUCAAAAACAGUUUGAUUCCCCUGCCAUCUUUUGUUUUUCUUUCUUUUUUUUUCUUACUUGGUUUAUGCUUAACUCAACAUUUCUCUUAAUGGUGUUAAUAUUUUGAUGGAGAAAAAUAUUAUUUAUAAAUGACAUUUUUUGUUUCAUAAAUCCAUCAAUUCAUC